RNAcentral lists this non-coding RNA (21 nucleotides) under Arabidopsis thaliana (thale cress). The record is from RNAcentral. Lineage: Eukaryota; Viridiplantae; Streptophyta; Magnoliopsida; Brassicales; Brassicaceae.
UAUUACGGUGGCCGCAGAGCA